GACGAACGCUGGCGGCGUGCCUAAUACAUGCAAGUCGAACGAGAGCGACCGGUGCUUGCACUGGUCAAUCUAGUGGCGAACGGGUGAGUAACACGUGGGUAACCUGCCCAUCAGAGGGGGAUAACAUCCGGAAACGGAUGCUAAAACCGCAUAGGUCUUCGAGCCGCAUGGCUUGAAGAGGAAAAGAGGCGCAAGCUUCUGCUGAUGGAUGGACCCGCGGUGCAUUAGCUAGUUGGUGAGGUAACGGCUCACCAAGGCCGUGAUGCAUAGCCGACCUGAGAGGGUGAUCGGCCACAUUGGGACUGAGACACGGCCCAAACUCCUACGGGAGGCAGCAGUAGGGAAUCUUCCGCAAUGGACGCAAGUCUGACGGAGCAACGCCGCGUGAGUGAAGAAGGUUUUCGGAUCGUAAAACUCUGUUGUUAGAGAAGAACAAGUGCUAGAGUAACUGUUAGCGCCUUGACGGUAUCUAACUAGAAAGCCACGGCUAACUACGUG
RNAcentral lists this ribosomal RNA (498 nucleotides) under uncultured bacterium. RNAcentral describes it as "partial 16S ribosomal RNA". It matches the Rfam family "Bacterial small subunit ribosomal RNA", at positions 28 to 507 of the family's 1533-position model. The record is from RNAcentral.